UUAGUGGCGCACGGGUGCGUAACGCGUGGGAAACUGCCCCUUGGUUCGGAAUAACAGUUGGAAACGACUGCUAAUACCGGAUGAUGACGUAAGUCCAAAGAUUUAUCGCCGAGGGAUGAGCCCGCGUAGGAUUAGGUAGUUGGUGUGGUAAAGGCGCACCAAGCCGACGAUCCUUAGCUGGUCUGAGAGGAUGAUCAGCCACACUGGGACUGAGACACGGCCCAGACUCCUACGGGAGGCAGCAGUGGGGAAUAUUGGACAAUGGGCGAAAGCCUGAUCCAGCAAUGCCGCGUGAGUGAUGAAGGCCUUAGGGUUGUAAAGCUCUUUUACCCGGGAUGAUAAUGACAGUACCGGGAGAAUAAGCUCCGGCUAACUCCGUGCCAGCAGCCGCGGUAAUACGGAGGGAGCUAGCGUUAUUCGGAAUUACUGGGCGUAAAGCGCACGUAGGCGGCUUUGUAAGUAAGAGGUGAAAGCCCAGAGCUCAACUCUGGAAUUGCCUUUUAGACUGCAUCGCUUGAAUCAUGGAGAGGUCAGUGGAAUUCCGAGUGUAGAGGUGAAAUUCGUAGAUAUUCGGAAGA
RNAcentral lists this ribosomal RNA (578 nucleotides) under uncultured Clostridium sp. RNAcentral's name for it is "bacterial SSU rRNA". It matches the Rfam family "Bacterial small subunit ribosomal RNA", at positions 92 to 705 of the family's 1533-position model. Lineage: Bacteria; Bacillati; Bacillota; Clostridia; Eubacteriales; Clostridiaceae. The record is from RNAcentral.